UGUAAGACCCCCGAAGCUGGGCCU
RNAcentral lists this non-coding RNA (24 nucleotides) under Mus musculus (house mouse). The record is from RNAcentral. Lineage: Eukaryota; Metazoa; Chordata; Mammalia; Rodentia; Muridae.